GAUGAACGCUGGCGGCGUGCUUAACACAUGCAAGUCGAACGGUGAAGCUCCAGCUUGCUGGCGUGGAUCAGUGGCGAACGGGUGAGUAACACGUGAGCAACAUGCCCCUGACUCUGGGAUAACAGCCGGAAACGGCUGCUCAUACCCGAUAUGAACUAUGAACGCAUGUUGUUUGGUGGGAAAGGAUUUUCGGUUGGGGAUGGGCUGUUGGGCUAUCGGCUUGUUAGUGAGGUAAUGGCUGACCAAGGCGUCGACGGGUAGCCGGCCUGAGAGGUUGACCGGCGACACGGGGACUGAGAGACGGCCCAGAAUGCUACGUGAGGCAGCAGUGGGAAAUAUGGCAGAGUGGGGGAAAGCGUGAGGCAGAAACGCCGCGAGAGGGAAGACGGCCUACGGGGUGUAAACCUCUUUGAGCAGGGAAGAAGAGGGAUUGACGGUACCUGCAGAGAAAGCGCCGGCUAACUACGUG
Molecule: ribosomal RNA, 469 nt
Filed under: uncultured bacterium
Lineage: Bacteria
Description: partial 16S ribosomal RNA
Rfam family: Bacterial small subunit ribosomal RNA
Source: RNAcentral